CAACCUGCCGCUUACUCGGGGAUAGCCUUUCGAAAGAAAGAUUAAUACCCGAUGGUAUAAAGAGUUCGCAUGUUCUCUUUAUUAAAGAAUUUCGGUAAGCGAUGGGGAUGCGUUCCAUUAGAUUGUUGGCGGGGUAACGGCCCACCAAGUCUACGAUGGAUAGGGGUUCUGAGAGGAAGGUCCCCCACAUUGGAACUGGGACACGGUCCAAACUCCUACGGGAGGCAGCAGUGAGGAAUAUUGGUCAAUGGACGAGAGUCUGAACCAGCCAAGUAGCGUGAAGGAUGACUGCCCUAUGGGUUGUAAACUUCUUUUAUAAGGGAAUAAAGUGAGGGACGUGUCCCUUUUUGUAUGUACCUUAUGAAUAAGGAUCGGCUAACUCCGUGCCAGCAGCCGCGGUAAUACGGAGGAUCCGAGCGUUAUCCGGAUUUAUUGGGUUUAAAGGGAGCGUAGGUUGACAUAUAAGUCAGCUGUGAAAGUUUACGGCUCAACCGUGAAAUUGCAGUUGAUACUGUAUGUCUUGAGUGUGCAAGAGGUGGGCGGAAUUCGUGGUGUAGCGGUGAAAUGCUUAGAUAUCACGAAGAACUCCGAUUG
Molecule: ribosomal RNA, 594 nt
Filed under: uncultured Bacteroidota bacterium
Lineage: Bacteria; Pseudomonadati; Bacteroidota
Description: bacterial SSU rRNA
Rfam family: Bacterial small subunit ribosomal RNA
Source: RNAcentral